UACGAAGGGGGCUAGCGUUGUUCGGAAUUACUGGGCGUAAAGCGCACGUAGGCGGAUCGAUCAGUCAGGGGUGAAAUCCCAGGGCUCAACCCUGGAACUGCCUUUGAUACUGUCGAUCUGGAGUAUGGAAGAGGUGAGUGGAAUUCCGAGUGUAGAGGUGAAAUUCGUAGAUAUUCGGAGGAACACCAGUGGCGAAGGCGGCUCACUGGUCCAUUACUGACGCUGAGGUGCGAAAGCGUGGGGAGCAAACAGGG
RNAcentral lists this ribosomal RNA (254 nucleotides) under uncultured bacterium. Its description in RNAcentral is "partial 16S ribosomal RNA". It matches the Rfam family "Bacterial small subunit ribosomal RNA", at positions 524 to 777 of the family's 1533-position model. The record is from RNAcentral.